GGAGGUAAAAGUCGUAACAAGGUUUCCGUAGGUGAACCUGCGGAAGGAUCAUUAUUGUAUAACCGAGGUGCGAGGGCUGUCGCUGACCCGAAAGGUCGUGCACGCCCGAGUGCCCUCACACACAUCCAUCUCACCCCUAUGUGCACCACCGCGUGGGUCCCCCUUUGGCUUGUUCGGAGGGGGGCUUACGUUUUCACACAAACUUUGUAUGCAGUAUAGAAUGUAUUUUUUGUUUUUGCGAUCACGCAAUCAAUACAACUUUCAACAACGGAUCUCUUGGCUCUC
This 285-nucleotide unclassified non-coding RNA is filed under the name plant metagenome. Its description in RNAcentral is "partial contains small subunit ribosomal RNA, internal transcribed spacer 1, and 5.8S ribosomal RNA". The stretch from base 1 to 54 matches the Rfam family "Eukaryotic small subunit ribosomal RNA", at positions 1778 to 1831 of the family's 1831-position model. The record is from RNAcentral.